UACAGAGGGUGCGAGCGUUAAUCGGAUUUACUGGGCGUAAAGCGUGCGUAGGCGGCUUAUUAAGUCGGAUGUGAAAUCCCCGAGCUUAACUUGGGAAUUGCAUUCGAUACUGGUGAGCUAGAGUAUGGGAGAGGAUGGUAGAAUUCCAGGUGUAGCGGUGAAAUGCGUAGAGAUCUGGAGGAAUACCGAUGGCGAAGGCAGCCAUCUGGCCUAAUACUGACGCUGAGGUACGAAAGCAUGGGGAGCAAACAGGAUUAGAUACCCUGGUAGUCCAUGCCGUAAACGAUGUCUACUAGCCGUUGGGGCCUUUGAGGCUUUAGUGGCGCAGCUAACGCGAUAAGUAGACCGCCUGGGGAGUACGGUCGCAAGACUAAA
This 375-nucleotide ribosomal RNA is filed under the name uncultured bacterium. RNAcentral's name for it is "bacterial SSU rRNA". It matches the Rfam family "Bacterial small subunit ribosomal RNA", at positions 524 to 898 of the family's 1533-position model. The record is from RNAcentral.